Molecule: transfer RNA, 57 nt
Filed under: Nymphaea hybrid cultivar
Lineage: Eukaryota; Viridiplantae; Streptophyta; Magnoliopsida; Nymphaeales; Nymphaeaceae
Description: tRNA-Gln
Rfam family: tRNA
About the family: Transfer RNA (tRNA) molecules are approximately 80 nucleotides in length. Their secondary structure includes four short double-helical elements and three loops (D, anti-codon, and T loops).
Source: RNAcentral
UAGCCAAGUGGUAAGGCAUCGGUUUCUGAUACCAACAUGCAAAGGUUCGAAUCCUUU